AGACUGGUUUUGAACUCACAGAG
Molecule: non-coding RNA, 23 nt
Filed under: Cricetulus griseus (Chinese hamster)
Lineage: Eukaryota; Metazoa; Chordata; Mammalia; Rodentia; Cricetidae
Source: RNAcentral